UGUCUAAGUCUUCUAACAGUGAGUAAAGC
This 29-nucleotide small RNA is filed under the name Bombyx mori (domestic silkworm). RNAcentral describes it as "ovarian small RNA-3892". The record is from RNAcentral. Lineage: Eukaryota; Metazoa; Arthropoda; Insecta; Lepidoptera; Bombycidae.